UUGAACGCUGGCGGAAUGCUUUACACAUGCAAGUCGAGCGGCAGCGCGGGGGCAACCCUGGCGGCGAGCGGCGAACGGGUGAGUAACACAUCGGAACGUACCCUGUCGUGGGGGAUAACACAUCGAAAGAUGUGCUAAUACCGCAUACGACCUGAGGGUGAAAGCGGGGGAUCGCAAGACCUCGCGCGAUAGGAGCGGCCGAUGUCGGAUUAGCUAGUUGGUGAGGUAAAGGCUCACCAAGGCGACGAUCCGUAGCUGGUCUGAGAGGACGACCAGCCACACUGGAACUGAGACACGGUCCAGACUCCUACGGGAGGCAGCAGUGGGGAAUUUUGGACAAUGGGCGCAAGCCUGAUCCAGCAAUGCCGCGUGCAGGAUGAAGGCCUUCGGGUUGUAAACUGCUUUUGUACGGAACGAAACGGUUCUCUUUAAUAAAGAGGGCUAAUGACGGUACCGUAAGAAUAAGCACCGGCUAACUACGU
Molecule: ribosomal RNA, 482 nt
Filed under: uncultured bacterium
Lineage: Bacteria
Description: bacterial SSU rRNA
Rfam family: Bacterial small subunit ribosomal RNA
Source: RNAcentral